UGUAAGCGUAUACCAAAGUUGUUGCAGUUAAAACGCUCGUAGUCGGAAUUUGGCAGUUCCGGAAGUGUGCACGUCGUGUGCGCACUUUGCGGGGACUGCUUUUGUGGUCUUGCGUAGGAUGAGGCACUUUCAUUAGUGAACGUCCUCACGCAACCACUCUUUACUGUGAGAAAAUCAGAGUGCUCAAAGCAGGCAUUUGCCGUGAAUGUAUUAGCAGGGAAUAAUAGAAUAGGACUCGGUUCUAUUUUGUUGGUUUGUUGGGACUGAGUAAUGAUUAAGAGGGACAGUUGGGGGCAUUUGUAUUCCGGCGCUAGAGGUGAAAUUCUUAGAUUGCCGGAAGACAAACUGCUGCGAAAGCGUCUGCCAAGGAUGUUUUCAUUGA
Molecule: ribosomal RNA, 382 nt
Filed under: uncultured eukaryote
Lineage: Eukaryota
Description: partial 18S ribosomal RNA
Rfam family: Eukaryotic small subunit ribosomal RNA
Source: RNAcentral